AUUGAACGCUGGCGGCAUGCCUUACACAUGCAAGUCGAACGGCAGCACGGGAGUAAUCCUGGUGGCGAGUGGCGAACGGGUGAGUAAUACAUCGGAACGUGCCCAAUCGUGGGGGAUAACGCAGCGAAAGCUGUGCUAAUACCGCAUACGAUCUACGGAUGAAAGCAGGGGAUCGCAAGACCUUGCGCGAAUGGAGCGGCCGAUGGCAGAUUAGGUAGUUGGUGAGGUAAAGGCUCACCAAGCCGUCGAUCUGUAGCUGGUCUGAGAGGACGACCAGCCACACUGGGACUGAGACACGGCCCAGACUCCUACGGGAGGCAGCAGUGGGGAAUUUUGGACAAUGGGCGAAAGCCUGAUCCAGCCAUGCCGCGUGCAGGAUGAAGGCCUUCGGGUUGUAAACUGCUUUUGUACGGAACGAAACGGCCUUUUCUAAUAAAGAGGGCUAAUGACGGUACCGUAAGAAUAAGCACCGGCUAACUACGUGCCAGCAGCCGCGGUAAUACGUAGGGUGCAAGCGUUAAUCGGGAUUACUGGGCGUAAAGCGUGCGCAGGCGGUUAUGUAAGACAGUUGUGAAAUCCCCGGGCUCAACCUGGGAACUGCAUCUGUGACUGCAUAGCUAGAGUACGGUAGAGGGGGAUGGAAUUCCGCGUGUAGCAGUGAAAUGCGUAGAUAUGCGGAGGAACACCGAUGGCGAAGGCAAUCCCCUGGACCUGUACUGACGCUCAUGCACGAAAGCGUGGGGAGCAAACAGG
RNAcentral lists this ribosomal RNA (753 nucleotides) under uncultured Comamonadaceae bacterium. RNAcentral's name for it is "bacterial SSU rRNA". It matches the Rfam family "Bacterial small subunit ribosomal RNA", at positions 28 to 776 of the family's 1533-position model. The record is from RNAcentral. Lineage: Bacteria; Pseudomonadati; Pseudomonadota; Betaproteobacteria; Burkholderiales; Comamonadaceae.